RNAcentral lists this ribosomal RNA (305 nucleotides) under uncultured bacterium. RNAcentral's name for it is "partial 16S ribosomal RNA". It matches the Rfam family "Bacterial small subunit ribosomal RNA", at positions 508 to 807 of the family's 1533-position model. The record is from RNAcentral.
ACAGCAGCCGCCGCGGUAAUACAGAGGGUGCGAGCGUUAAUCGGAUUUACUGGGCGUAAAGCGUGCGUAGGCGGCUUCUUAAGUCGCAUGUGAAAUCCCUGAGCUUAACUUAGGAAUUGCAUUCGAUACUGGGAAGCUAGAGUAUGGGAGAGGAUGGUAGAAUUCCAGGUGUAGCGGUGAAAUGCGUAGAGAUCUGGAGGAAUACCGAUGGCGAAGGCAGCCAUCUGGCCUAAUACUGACGCUGAGGUACGAAAGCAUGGGGAGCAAACAGGAUUAGAUACCCCUGUAGUCCCUGUCUCUUAUAC